GAUGAACGCUAGCAGAGCGCCUAACACAUGCAAGUCGAACGAGAACUUUAUGCUUGCAUAAAGUAAAAGUGGCAAACGGGCGAGUAACGCGUACUUAAUCUGCCCUGAAGACGAAAACAACUACGGAGACGUAGCUAAUUUUCGAUAAUCUCUUGUGACUGAAAUGUCUAUAGAGCAAAUGAUUUAUCGCUUUAGGAGGAGGGUGCGUCCUAUCAGUUUGUUGGUGAGGUAACGGCUCACCAAGACUAUGACGGGUAGCCGGUCUGAGAGGAUGUCCGGCCGCAAUGGGACUGAGACACGGCCCAUACCCCUACGGGGGGCAGCAGUGGGGAAUAUUGGACAAUGGACGAAAGUCUGAUCCAGCGACUCUGCGUGGAGGAUGAAGCCUUACGGGGUGUAAACUUCUUUUCUGGGGGAAGACGAAUGACGGUACCUCAGGAAUAAGGGACGGCUAACUACG
Molecule: ribosomal RNA, 460 nt
Filed under: uncultured bacterium
Lineage: Bacteria
Description: bacterial SSU rRNA
Rfam family: Bacterial small subunit ribosomal RNA
Source: RNAcentral